GGAUCAAUUAAUUGGUCGUGCCUAUGGUACGUACUGAUUUUAUUGGUUUCUCCCUUCUGACGAACCAUGAUGUCAUUAAUUUGGUGUCGUGGAGAAUCAGGACUGUUACUUUGAAAAAUUAGAGUGUUUAAAGCAGGCUAACGCUUGAAUACAUUAGCAUGGAAUAAUGAAAUAGGACGUUUGAUCCUAUUUUGUUGGUUUCUAGGAUCGACGUAAUGAUUA
Molecule: ribosomal RNA, 222 nt
Filed under: uncultured Glomeromycotina
Lineage: Eukaryota; Fungi; Glomeromycota
Description: partial 18S ribosomal RNA
Rfam family: Eukaryotic small subunit ribosomal RNA
Source: RNAcentral